GAUGAACGCUGGCGGCGUGCUUAACACAUGCAAGUCGAACGAUGAAGCCCAGCUUGCUGGGUGGAUUAGUGGCGAACGGGUGAGUAACACGUGAGUAACCUGCCCUUAACUCUGGGAUAAGCCUGGGAAACUGGGUCUAAUACCGGAUAGGAGCGCCUACCGCAUGGUGGGUGUUGGAAAGAUUUAUCGGUUUUGGAUGGACUCGCGGCCUAUCAGCUUGUUGGUGAGGUAAUGGCUCACCAAGGCGACGACGGGUAGCCGGCCUGAGAGGGUGACCGGCCACACUGGGACUGAGACACGGCCCAGACUCCUACGGGAGGCAGCAGUGGGGAAUAUUGCACAAUGGGCGAAAGCCUGAUGCAGCGACGCCGCGUGAGGGAUGACGGCCUUCGGGUUGUAAACCUCUUUCAGUAGGGAAGAAGCGAAAGUGCCGGUACCUGCAGAAGAAGCACCGGCUAACUACGUG
Molecule: ribosomal RNA, 466 nt
Filed under: uncultured bacterium
Lineage: Bacteria
Description: partial 16S ribosomal RNA
Rfam family: Bacterial small subunit ribosomal RNA
Source: RNAcentral